Bos taurus (domestic cattle) is the source of this 2090-nucleotide long non-coding RNA. The record is from Ensembl. Lineage: Eukaryota; Metazoa; Chordata; Mammalia; Artiodactyla; Bovidae.
CCCUUUUCUUUCCAAUCGUUUCCAUUUCUUCUCCAACUCUUAUAUCCACAUCUCCUUAGGUAGACUGGGGUGUUAUGACCGAGAAGCACAAAGUACUUUACAGGAUAGAUCACUAAUGUUUUCAAAAAGAGCUCAUGCAGAGGAUAGACUUACGUACAGAGGCGGUGGAGCCAAGGCCUAGGUAACUGCACAGUCUGGAUGGUUCUUUUGUCACUGCUGCUCAGCUGACAAUAUCCUAUGACUGAUCAAUUAUUUCUUUCCCAAGCAGUGAAGCUAGUGUCAUCCAAGGGCUUCCAGAAGAGACAGAAGAUAUUUCCUCCCCGGGACCAUGGACCCAAGCGGGAUAUGGAGCAGCACGUGUUCCCGGGUUCCGAGCAAUUUGCUUUCAGCAGGGCUAAUGAGAGCUUCGAGAUCUCUGCAGUCAUCUCCAGAAAGGGCUCAGAGAUACGCGCAGGAAACUGAGACCCAAGUGCCCACGCAUCACAACUUCAUUCAGCAGUGGUCCACCACAGUGCCGCUGCCGUCACGGUCCCCACCCAGGGGAGGGCUGCUCCUAAGGCCAAUGGACUCAGUGCUGCAGUGAAGAUGCAAAGCUUCCGCUCCCUGUACCCAUACCUGGGCCGUUCCAGCUGACCUGGAGCAAAGGAGGCUCUUCUGGGCACUGAUUCUCCCUGAAAGCCGACCAGGUGGAGCUCAUUCCGGCAGGCCUCCUUGCACCCUCACCUCUUUCCUGGUAGGAUCCAGAGAUCUGCCCCGCCUCUCCCGUGGGGGCUGCUGGGUAGGGCCUCUGCUUCCCAUGGAUCACAGUGCAGUUCCCCGCGGCCUCGCCGAGUGUUGUGAGCUCAACAAGUGUUGCGGUAGGGCGCUCAACUCUUCCAAAGGAAGGCCCCACUAGCAUCUUGGAAGCUGCAAAAUAAAGAAAAAAAAAUAGAGAAUUGUCAUAUUGGACUCUCUCAAAAGAAAAAAGAAAAAACAAGAAAGAAAGAAGAGAAAAACAGAAUGGAUACCCACUAUUGACAAAAGAGAAAUUUGGAUGAAAUUCAGGAAUACAGAAUCUAGGAGACAUGAGUUCGAUUGCUGGGUCGGAAAGAGCCCCUGGAGAAGGAAACGGCAACACACUCUAGUAUUCUUGCCUGGGAAAUCCCAUGGACAAGGAACGUGGCUGGCUACAAUUUAUGGAAUCUCAAAACAGUCAGACACAGAUGAGCGAUUAAACAACUCUUAUUUAAGUACUUCUGUCACCUGGAGAUGCUGCUUCCCCUUAGCCUCUGAGUCUUUUAAUAUGUUAUUCCCUCUGCCUGGAACACAGUUUUUGACGGCCAACGAAAUGCCAACAGUUGGCAUUUGAAUCAUUGUGGUGAUUAAUUUUAUGUGUCAUCUUGAUUGGGCUAAGGGGUGCCCAGAUAACCUGUGAAACAUUUCUGGAUAUGUCUGCAAGGAUGUUUCUGAAAGAGAUAAGCACUGAAUUUGUAGACUGAGUAAAGAAAAACACAUUCCCCAGUGUGGGAGGACAUCAGCCAGUUGGUUGAAGACAUGAAUAGAAAAAAAGACUGAGGAAGGGUGAAGUUGCUGUAUGCUUGGACAGCCAUCUUCUUCUUUCUUCAGACAUAGGAGACCCCAUCCUCCAGAAUUUAAAGAAGAAAGUUGAACCCUUCUCACUUUAAGCCUAUCUUAAAAGCUGCUUUUAGAAACUCCAGUGCACACUCACACACCAUUAUAUGUUAUUUUAGGCUGGUGUAAUAAUAAAACUGUCAAUCCUAUGAAUAAGAACUGUUUCUUUACUUGGAUUCUUGCUCAUGUUCGUGUAUAUUUAUGUAUUACUAGAAAAGCAGCAUUCUUAAGAUUUCUUAGAUUGUUUUGAUAAGAUGUGACUCUACUUUUCCCAGCCUUUCUUAUUAUAAGAAUCUUUAACAAGCGCUUUAAACAGUUUUGCACAUGCUACCUUACAUUUUCAUGUGAUGUAAAGUGUAGCAAAAUCCUUUUUUUUCUCCAAAGAAUUUUUCUUAAUAAUAUUUAAAUAAUGUAAGUGUUUCUGCUUUUGUAAUGCUCUCUGUGCAAAUAGAAUAGUUGCCAAUGUUUAUCAUGGGAAG